RNAcentral lists this unclassified non-coding RNA (255 nucleotides) under uncultured fungus. RNAcentral's name for it is "sequence contains ITS2". The record is from RNAcentral. Lineage: Eukaryota; Fungi.
AACGCACAUUGCGCCCAUUAGUAUUCUAGUGGGCAUGCCUGUUCGAGCGUCAUUACAACCCUCAAGCGCUGUAGUGCUUGGUGUUGGGGCAUCUGCUGCCUGUAGCAGGCCCUGAAAGAUAGUGGCGAGGUCGCUGUGACCCUGAGCGUAGUAAUUACACCUCGCUUCUGUGGUUCGCAGCGGGUUCUCAGCCGUGAAACCCCCAAUUUUCACAAGGUUGACCUCGGAUCAGGUAGGAAUACCCGCUGAACUUAA